GACGAACGCUGGCGGCGUGCUUAACACAUGCAAGUCGAACGGAAAGGCCCUGCUUUUGUGGUGUGCUCGAGUGGCGAGCGUGUGUGUCACACGUGAAUAACCUGCCCUUCACUUUGGGAUACCUUCGGGACACUGGGGAUUACUCGGGAUGGCAUCUCAUGCUGCGUGGGGGGGGGUGGAGAGUUUCGGCGGUUGGGGAUGGACUCGCGGCUUAUCAGCUUGUUGGUGGGGUAGUGGCUUACCAAGGCGUUGACGGGUAGCCGGCCUGAGAGGGUGACCGGCCACACUGGGACUGAGAGACGGCCCAGACUCCUACGGGAGGCAGCAGUGGGGAAUAUUGCACAAUGGGCGGAAGCCUGAUGCAGCAACGCCGCGUGCGGGAUGACGGCCUUCGGGUUGUAAACCGCUUUCGCCUGUGACGAAGCGUGAGUGACGGUAAUGGGUAAAGAAGCACCGGCUAACUACGUG
RNAcentral lists this ribosomal RNA (468 nucleotides) under uncultured bacterium. Its description in RNAcentral is "partial 16S ribosomal RNA". It matches the Rfam family "Bacterial small subunit ribosomal RNA", at positions 28 to 507 of the family's 1533-position model. The record is from RNAcentral.